RNAcentral lists this ribosomal RNA (207 nucleotides) under uncultured bacterium. RNAcentral describes it as "partial 16S ribosomal RNA". It matches the Rfam family "Bacterial small subunit ribosomal RNA", at positions 568 to 774 of the family's 1533-position model. The record is from RNAcentral.
CACGUAGGUGGCGACGUAAGUCGGGUGUGAAAUCCCCGGGCUCAACCUGGGAACUGCAUUCGAGACUGUGUUGCUGGAGUACGGAAGAGGAGGGCGGAAUUCCCGGUGUAGCGGUGAAAUGCGUAGAUAUCGGGAGGAACAUCAGUGGCGAAGGCGGCCCUCUGGUCCAGUACUGACACUCAAGUGCGAAAGCGUGGGGAGCAAACA